This 584-nucleotide ribosomal RNA is filed under the name Bacillus thuringiensis. RNAcentral's name for it is "bacterial SSU rRNA". It matches the Rfam family "Bacterial small subunit ribosomal RNA", at positions 95 to 664 of the family's 1533-position model. The record is from RNAcentral. Lineage: Bacteria; Bacillati; Bacillota; Bacilli; Caryophanales; Bacillaceae.
GCGGCGGACGGGUGAGUAACACGUGGGUAACCUGCCCAUAAGACUGGGAUAACUCCGGGAAACCGGGGCUAAUACCGGAUAACAUUUUGAACUGCAUGGUUCGAAAUUGAAAGGCGGCUUCGGCUGUCACUUAUGGAUGGACCCGCGUCGCAUUAGCUAGUUGGUGAGGUAACGGCUCACCAAGGCAACGAUGCGUAGCCGACCUGAGAGGGUGAUCGGCCACACUGGGACUGAGACACGGCCCAGACUCCUACGGGAGGCAGCAGUAGGGAAUCUUCCGCAAUGGACGAAAGUCUGACGGAGCAACGCCGCGUGAGUGAUGAAGGCUUUCGGGUCGUAAAACUCUGUUGUUAGGGAAGAACAAGUGCUAGUUGAAUAAGCUGGCACCUUGACGGUACCUAACCAGAAAGCCACGGCUAACUACGUGCCAGCAGCCGCGGUAAUACGUAGGUGGCAAGCGUUAUCCGGAAUUAUUGGGCGUAAAGCGCGCGCAGGUGGUUUCUUAAGUCUGAUGUGAAAGCCCACGGCUCAACCGUGGAGGGUCAUUGGAAACUGGGAGACUUGAGUGCAGAAGAGGAAAGUGG